RNAcentral lists this ribosomal RNA (439 nucleotides) under uncultured bacterium. RNAcentral describes it as "partial 16S ribosomal RNA". It matches the Rfam family "Bacterial small subunit ribosomal RNA", at positions 338 to 795 of the family's 1533-position model. The record is from RNAcentral.
CCUACGGGUGGCAGCAGUGGGGAAUAUUGCACAAUGGGCGAAAGCCUGACGCAGCAACGCCGCGUGAGGGAUGAAGGCCUUCGGGUCGUAAAGCUCUGUCUUCAAGGAAGAUAAGGACGGUACUUGAGGAGGAAUCCCUGGCAAACUCCGUACAAGCAGCCGCGGUAACACGAGGGGGGCUGGGGUUAUCGGGAACGACGGGGCGAAAGGGGUGUGUAGGUGGAUUCUAAAGUCAGCGGUAAAAGCCUACGGUUCAACCGUAGGAAGCCUUUGAAACUGGGGAACUUGAGUGUGGGAGAGGAAAGUGGAAUUCCUGGUGUAGCGGUGAAAUGCGUAGAUAUCAGGAGGAACACCAGUGGCGAAGGCGGCUCUCUGGACUGUAACUGACGCUGAGGCGCGAAAGCGUGGGUAGCAAACAGGAUUAGAUACCCCAGUAGUC